This 497-nucleotide ribosomal RNA is filed under the name uncultured bacterium. RNAcentral describes it as "partial 16S ribosomal RNA". It matches the Rfam family "Bacterial small subunit ribosomal RNA", at positions 28 to 507 of the family's 1533-position model. The record is from RNAcentral.
GAUGAACGCUGGCGGCGUGCCUAAUACAUGCAAGUCGAGCGAACGGACGAGAAGCUUGCUUCUCUGAUGUUGGCGGCGGACGGGGGAGUAAAACGUGGAUAACCUACCUAUAAGACUGGGAUAACUUCGGGAAACCGGAGCUAAUACCGGAUGAUAUUUUGAACCGCAUGGUUCAAAAGUGAAAGACGGUCUUGCUGUCACUUAUAGAUGGAUCCGCGCUGCAUUAGCUAGUUGGUAAGGUAACGGCUUACCAAGGCAACGAUGCAUAGCCGACCUGAGAGGGUGAUCGGCCACACUGGAACUGAGACACGGUCCAGACUCCUACGGGAGGCAGCAGUAGGGAAUCUUCCGCAAUGGGCGAAAGCCUGACGGAGCAACGCCGCGUGAGUGAUGAAGGUCUUCGGAUCGUAAAACUCUGUUAUUAGGGAAGAACAUAUGUGUAAGUAACUGUGCACAUCUUGACGGUACCUAAUCAGAAAGCCACGGCUAACUACGUG